ACUAAUAUUUAAUUUUGGCUGCCAUAAAAUUGAUUCUAAUAUAUUUUUAUGCUCAAAUUUUCUUCGUUGUGGGCCCUGAAUUCAUUCAAUUUAAAUUCUGAAUUUAAGGAAGUUUAAGAAAUCGAUUAGACAUUUUUCCCUCUCCACAGACUCCGGUAGAUACCUGUCAUUUCGAAGUGUCUUUUCGGCGAUCCCGUCUUAAUCUUCUUGGGGAUCUCUCUUACCGAGUUCCAACAUGGCACUGCCGGCCAGAUGGAAACUACUUGUUGGUUUAGCUGUUGUAUUUUUGUUUAAUAGUAUCAACGCUCAAAAUCCAUUCCGGAGCUUUCAGUACAAGUACAGUUUUAAGCCACCUUACUUGGCGCAAAAAGAUGGAAGUGUUCCGUUUUGGGAAUACUCAGGAAAUGCCAUUGCCAAUGAAGAAAUGGUUCGAAUCACUCCAUCUCUCAGAAGUCAAAAAGGCCAAAUUUGGACAAGAACACCAACUGAUUUUGAAUGGUGGGAGGUUGAGAUGGUGUUUAGAGUAACUGGUCGUGGAAGAAUUGGAGCUGAUGGCUUGGCUUUGUGGUAUACAGAGAGCAAAGGUGUUGAGGGGCCUGUGUUUGGUUCCAAUGAUAACUGGAACGGUCUGGGUCUUUUCUUUGACUCCUUUGAUAAUGACAACAAACACAACAAUCCCUUUAUCAUGGCAAUGACAAAUGAUGGAUCUCAAUCCUAUUCUCAUCAGCUGGAUGGUUCUACGCAACAGUUAGCCGGUUGUUUGAGAGAUUUCAGAAACAAACCGUUUCCAGUUCGAGCCAAAAUAGAGUACUACCACAAUACGCUUUCGGUUAUGUUUCACAAUGGAAUGUCAAACAACGAGCAAGAUUACGAAAUGUGUUUCAGGGUUGAAAAUGUUGUAUUGCCAAAGUAUGGAUACUUUGGUGUCACUGCUGCAACUGGUGGUCUUGCUGAUGAUCACGAUGCCCUUAAAUUCCUCACUUACAAUUUGCAAAGCUCUGACUCGACCGGUACAAAUGAACCUCACAUACCUGAAGAUGAACGUGCGAAGCUCUCACAAGAAUUCCAGGAAUACCAAGAUAAACUACAGAAGCAGAAAGAUGAAUACCGACAGGCUCAUCCAGAUGAGGCUGAUACUGGCAAAAUGGAAAAUCCAGAGGAAUGGUUUGAAACUGAUAACCAGCGCGAGUUAGGCCAAAUUUUCGCUGGACAGAGCAAAAUGUUUGAUGCUUUGCGGGAUAUUCAGCGCAAAAUGGACGACCUUGUUGGGCGUCAAGAACGGACACUCAGCCUGAUGUCAGCCAUUCAAACUAACCAAGUUGCUGGCGGAGUCGCGCAACCUAGUGUAACAGGUCAAGUUCCAGGUGGCGACGUUCUUCGGCGCCACGAAGUCGAUACAGCUCUCGCCAAUCAGCGUGAAAUUGUUGGUGCAGCUCGAGAAAUCAAGGCAUACGUCACCGAAAUCCAUCAACGAACUGCUACCAUCGUUCAGAAUCAGGGUAAACAGGUGGGCGGGUCUGCACAGCCCAUCGGUUACGAUCACGUUCAGAAUAGUUUGAAUGAAGUCAAAGAGGGACUAAAUUUAAUUAAACGAGAUAUUAGUGUAACGGCUCAGCGCCUGGCCGCACAACCUGUCACUUCCUGCCCUACAGCCCAACCAUGUCUCAGUACUACCAUCUUUGCUGUCUUUAUGGUCAUUCAGAUGGUUAUCAUGAUCGGAUAUUUCAUCUACAGGGAUACAAAGGAAGCGCAAGCUAAGAAAUUUUAUUAGGAAUGCAAAGUAUCGAUUUCCAUUUGUUACAAAAAUAACAGAAGAAUUUUAUGUGGAGACCAAAAGUGUUGAGGAGAAUACCUCAAUGCAUAAUUUGAGUUUGGUGCAUGAAUGCAAAAUAAGUGGCAAUUUGAUUGACUUAAAAAUAACAUCACGGGGUAACGCACGACAUGAUUAAUGUAUAGUUGAUCUGGAUGUCGUUAUCCGUCUUGUUUAAUGCAAUUUUUUUUUAUUUCAUCGUGCAGAAGGAAAUUAUUUUUUGAAUGGUUUCAUUUUGUGAUGAAUGUGUUUUAUACAGCGUAGUGAAUGGAUGUGAUUCUGCCUAAAAGGCGAAUAUUUUCUGCCCCAUUUUCGUUUUAUUUUUCAUAUAGCUGCGGAAUGUUCAUGGUACACAUUCCACCCUCACAACUUUUCACGCCGGGAUUUUGAAAGCAAAACGUAUCAGAGAGAAAUACACUGCCUUCGGUACCACA
This 2244-nucleotide unclassified non-coding RNA is filed under the name Daphnia pulicaria. Its description in RNAcentral is "protein ERGIC-53-like, transcript variant X1". Lineage: Eukaryota; Metazoa; Arthropoda; Branchiopoda; Diplostraca; Daphniidae. The record is from RNAcentral.